CCCCCCCCCCCCCCGUCCCAAAAUUCUUGUCUUAAAUUUGUCUACAUAUGGAUGUAUCUAAUACUAAAACGUAACUAGAUACAUCCAAAUUUAGACAAAUCUAAGACAAGAAUUUUGAGACGGAGGGAGUAUAAG
Non-coding RNA from Triticum aestivum (bread wheat), 135 nucleotides. The record is from Rfam. Lineage: Eukaryota; Viridiplantae; Streptophyta; Magnoliopsida; Poales; Poaceae.